Long non-coding RNA from Ailuropoda melanoleuca (giant panda), 254 nucleotides. RefSeq lists it as uncharacterized. NCBI's taxonomy places the organism in Eukaryota, Metazoa, Chordata, Mammalia, Carnivora, Ursidae. The record is from RefSeq and is a predicted model, not a curated record. The transcript has 3 exons.
CUGAGGUGGAUGAUGGUGCUGGUGGCACCUUAGCGGCUGUGUACUUAAUGCCCCCGAACUAUGCACUUCAAAUGGCUAACAUGGUGUACAAUAUGGUGGGUAAUUCAGAACAUCCAUGCAUCACCUGAGGCUCAUUAAGCUGAGGAUCCAAAAAGUCGUAGUCCCUAAAGCAGAGGAGUGGUUCUUCAGAGCUGAGUGGCCGGCCAUCAGCGUCCCCCAGAGGACUUGUUACGACAUUCUGGGCUCUACUUCUC